Molecule: ribosomal RNA, 468 nt
Filed under: uncultured bacterium
Lineage: Bacteria
Description: partial 16S ribosomal RNA
Rfam family: Bacterial small subunit ribosomal RNA
Source: RNAcentral
GACGAACGCUGGCGGCGUGCUUAACACAUGCCAGUCGAACGGACAGGCCCUGCUUUUGCGGGGUGCACGUGUGGCGAGCGGGGGAGUAACACGCGAGUAACCUGCCCUUGACUGUGGGAUAUCUUCAGGAAACUGGGGCGAAUACCGGAUAGGAGCUCCUGCUGCACGGGGGUGGUUGGAAAGUUUCGGCUGUUGUGGAUGGACUCGCGGCUUAUGAGCUUGUUUGUGAGGUAGUGGCUUACCACGGCUUUGACGGGUAGCCGGCCUGGGAGGGUGACCGGCGACAUUGGGACUGCGAUACGCCGCAGACUCGUACGGUCCGCAGCAGUCGGGAACAUUGCACAAUGGGCGGACGCCUGAUGCGGCAGCGCCGCGUGCGUGAUGCCGUCCUUCGGGUUGUAAACCGCUUUCGCCUGUGCCGAAGCCUGAGUGACGGUACUGGGUCAAGAAGCACCGGCUAACUACGUG